UACGUAGGGGGCGAGCGUUGUCCGGAAUCAUUGGGCGUAAAGGGCGCGUAGGUGGUUCUGUAUGUCUACCGUGAAAGCGUACGGCUCAACUGUAUUUUGUCGGUAGAGACUGCAGGACUUGAGGCUGGGAGGGGCUGGUGGAAUUCCCUGUGUAGCGGUGAAAUGCGUAGAGAUGGGGGAGAACACUCGUGGCGAAGGCGGCCAGCUAGACCAGUUCUGACACUGAGGCGCGACAGCGUGGGGAGCAAACAGG
This 253-nucleotide ribosomal RNA is filed under the name uncultured bacterium. RNAcentral's name for it is "partial 16S ribosomal RNA". It matches the Rfam family "Bacterial small subunit ribosomal RNA", at positions 524 to 776 of the family's 1533-position model. The record is from RNAcentral.